AAACGUGUGACAAUAAUGCCAAAAGAC
Molecule: small RNA, 27 nt
Filed under: Bombyx mori (domestic silkworm)
Lineage: Eukaryota; Metazoa; Arthropoda; Insecta; Lepidoptera; Bombycidae
Description: ovarian small RNA-10024
Source: RNAcentral